This 513-nucleotide ribosomal RNA is filed under the name uncultured bacterium. RNAcentral describes it as "bacterial SSU rRNA". It matches the Rfam family "Bacterial small subunit ribosomal RNA", at positions 163 to 742 of the family's 1533-position model. The record is from RNAcentral.
CUAAUACCCAAUGGUGAUGGAUGGGGAUGCGUCUGAUUAGCUUGUUGGCGGGGUAACGGCCCACCAAGGCGACGAUCAGUAGGGGUUCUGAGAGGAAGGUCCCCCACAUUGGAACUGAGACACGGUCCAAACUCCUACGGGAGGCAGCAGUGAGGAAUAUUGGUCAAUGGGCGAGAGCCUGAACCAGCCAAGUAGCGUGCAGGAUGACGGCCUAUGGGUUGUAAACUGCUUUUAUAAGGGAAUAUGUACCUUAUGAAUAAGGACCGGCUAAUUCCGCGCCAGCAGCCGCGGUAAUACGGAAGGUCCGGGCGUUAUCCGGAUUUAUUGGGUUUAAAGGGAGCGUAGGCCGGAGAUUAAGCGUGUUGUGAAAUGUAGACGCUCAACGUCUGCACUGCAGCGCGAACUGGUUUCCUUGAGUACGCACAAAGCGGGCGGAAUUCGUGGUGUAGCGGUGAAAUGCUUAGAUAUCACGAAGAACUCCGAUUGCGAAGGCAGCUCACUGGAGCGCAACUG